RNAcentral lists this ribosomal RNA (429 nucleotides) under uncultured bacterium. RNAcentral describes it as "bacterial SSU rRNA". It matches the Rfam family "Bacterial small subunit ribosomal RNA", at positions 355 to 776 of the family's 1533-position model. The record is from RNAcentral.
UGGGGAAUCUUGCGCAAUGCGCGACAGCGUGACGCAGCAACACCGCGUGGGGGAAGACGGCCUUCGGGUUGUAAACCCCUUUCAGGAGGGACGAAGGCUCCGUGGUUAAUAGCCACGUGUGCUGACGGUACCUCCAGAAGAAGCUCCGGCUAACUACGUGCCAGCAGCCGCGGUAAUACGUAGGGAGCAAGCGUUGUCCGGAAUCAUUGGGCGUAAAGAGCGCGUAGGCGGCUCGGUAAGUCCGCUGUGAAAGUCAGGGGCUCAACCCUUGAAUGCCAGUGGAUACUGUCGGGCUAGAGUCCGGAAGAGGCGAGUGGAAUUCCUGGUGUAGCGGUGGAAUGCGCAGAUAUCAGGAGGAACACCUAUGGCGAAGGCAGCUCGCUGGGACGGUACUGACGCUGAGGCGCGAAAGCGUGGGGAGCGAACAGG